AGACAGCACAAGCAGGGGAGCGUCAGGGAGAGGGGAAGCAGGUUUCCCUCUGUGCAAGGAGAUGGACACGUGACUUGAUCCCAGGACUCUGGCUGGGAUCAUGACUUGAGCCAAAGGCAGCCACUUAACCGACUGAGCCAGCCAGGGUUUCAGUUACUUCUGGUCAACUUCAUCUGAAGUAGAUGAUCCUCCUUUUGAAGUAUUAAUUGAAGUUCAAUAGCAACUUAUUGCUAAUGGGACAGUGCCUAUAUCACUCACCUCACUUCAUGUCAUCGCAUAGGCAUUUUAUCAUCUCACAAUAUCACAUGAAAGAUUCCCAGAGGACAUGCCAAAGUUCAAAGGCGGUUGUAUGAGGAAAACAAGCCCAGCCAACCAUUAAGAACUCUUCCCACCUGGAGAAGACCUGAAGUGGAUCCUAGCAGCCUCAAAAACAAAGGUCCCAGAAUACUAAUGGAGUCAUCUUUUCAUUCCUUCCCUUCAGUGAGUAGGCACAAACACAAAAAAUACAAAACAAAAGGAGGAUCUUAAUAGUUAGGAAAGAUUCAUUUUACUGUAGAGAAGGGCUGUUAGGAAGCUGCUGCCAACGGGCCUGAUCCAUACAGAGCUGUAAAACCAGUUACUUGUGCUUGGCCGUCCAUGGAAAACAGCAGGCCACUCCUUUUAUUCAGAGCCCUUUCUCUGAGGCUCCCUGACUGAACAAAAACCUGCUCAAAGAUAUGGGGGCUCAAUCAGAUAAAGAUGCUUCAGUUUAUUCUGCAGGUAUUUUGUGUUGUUUUCCUUUCAAUUUUCCAGCAACUGAUUAACAUAAUUUCCAAUCAUUAAAAUUUACCAAUAAGCAUCUCCCUGAAACUCUAUGUAUCUCAAGACAUAGGUGUAUAAAUCAUUCAGUCUCACCCCAGUUCUAGGUUACCAUCCUGGUACAUGUGGGAAAACC
RNAcentral lists this long non-coding RNA (934 nucleotides) under Mustela putorius furo (domestic ferret). RNAcentral describes it as "lncRNA (ENSMPUG00000025966.1)". Lineage: Eukaryota; Metazoa; Chordata; Mammalia; Carnivora; Mustelidae. The record is from RNAcentral.